This 505-nucleotide ribosomal RNA is filed under the name uncultured bacterium. Its description in RNAcentral is "bacterial SSU rRNA". It matches the Rfam family "Bacterial small subunit ribosomal RNA", at positions 29 to 511 of the family's 1533-position model. The record is from RNAcentral.
AGCGAACGUUAGCGGCGGGCCUAACACAUGCAAGUCGAACGCGAAAGGUCUUCGGACUGAGUAGAGUGGCGCACGGGUGAGUAACACGUAGGUAAUCUACCCUUUGGCGGGGGAUAACGUUCCGAAAGGAGCGCUAAUACCGCAUAAGACCACGGAGUCUCCGGACGCUGUGGGAAAAGGUGGCCUCUUCUUGAAAGCUAUCACCGAAGGAUGAGCCUGCGUCCCAUCAGCUAGUUGGUAAGGUAAUGGCUUACCAAGGCGAAGACGGGUAGCUGGUUUGAGAGAAUGAUCAGCCGCACUGGCACUGGAACACGGGCCAGACUCCUACGGGAGGCAGCAGUGAGGAAUAUUGGGCAAUGGGCGAAAGCCUGACCCAGCCACGCCGCGUGAGUGAUGAAGGCCCUCGGGUCGUAAAGCUCUGUGGAGAGGGACGAAAACCCUGGUUUCAAAUAGGCUCCAGGCUUGACGGUACCUCUUUAGCAAGCACCGGCUAACUCUGUGCCAG